Molecule: ribosomal RNA, 1918 nt
Filed under: Fragilariopsis kerguelensis
Lineage: Eukaryota; Bacillariophyta; Bacillariophyceae; Bacillariales; Bacillariaceae
Description: partial Bacterial large subunit ribosomal RNA
Rfam family: Bacterial large subunit ribosomal RNA
Source: RNAcentral
AAGCGCAUACGGUGGAUGCCUUGGCAGUCAGAGGCGAUGAAAGACGUGGAAGCCUGCGAUAAGGCUCGGGGAGCUGGCAAACAAGCUGUGAUCCGGGCAUCUCUGAAUGGGGAAACCCACCGGUCUUCGGACCGGUACCGUACGGUGAAUACAUAGCCGUACGGGGCGAACUCGGGGAACUGAAACAUCUAAGUACCCGAAGGAAAAGAAAUCAACCGAGAUUCCCUCAGUAGCGGCGAGCGAACGGGGACCAGCCCUUAAGCUGGACAACUGGUAGGAGAAGGCCCUGGAAAGAGCCGCCAUAGUGGGUGAUAGCCCCGUAUCCGAAACCUGAGUCCAGUGAAAUCGAGUAGGACGGGACACGAGACAUCCUGUCUGAACAUGGGGGGACCAUCCUCCAAGGCUAAAUACUCCUGACUGACCGAUAGUGAACCAGUACCGUGAGGGAAAGGCGAAAAGAACCCCUGUGAGGGGAGUGAAAUAGAUCCUGAAACCGUAUGCGUACAAGCAGUCGGAGCGGACUUGUUCCGUGACGGCGUACCUUUUGUAUAAUGGGUCAGCGACUUAUGUUCAGUGGCGAGGUUAACCGUUUAGGGGAGCCGUAGGGAAACCGAGUCUGAAUAGGGCGAUUUAGUCGCUGGGCAUAGACCCGAAACCGGGCGAUCUAUCCAUGAGCAGGUUGAAGGUUGAGUAACAUCAACUGGAGGACCGAACCCACUGUCUUUGAAAAGCCAGGGGAUGACUUGUGGAUCGGAGUGAAAGGCUAAUCAAGCCCGGAGAUAGCUGGUUCUCCCCGAAAGCUAUUUAGGUAGCGCCUCGGACGAAUACCACAGGGGGUAGAGCACUGUUUCGGCUAGGGGGUCAUCCCGACUUACCAACCCGAUGCAAACUCCGAAUACCUGUGAGUACUAUCCGGGAGACACACGGUGGGUGCUAACGUCCAUCGUGAAGAGGGAAACAACCCAGACCGCCAGCUAAGGUCCCCAAAUACCAGUUAAGUGGGAAACGAUGUGGGAAGGCUCAGACAGCUAGGAGGUUGGCUUAGAAGCAGCCAUCCUUUAAAGAAAGCGUAAUAGCUCACUAGUCGAGUCGGCCUGCGCGGAAGAUGUAACGGGGCUCAAACUGGUUACCGAAGCUGCGGCUGUGCACGCAAGUGCACGGGGUAGGGGAGCGUUCUGUAAGCCUGCGAAGGUGUGUCGAGAGGCAUGCUGGAGGUAUCAGAAGUGCGAAUGCUGACAUGAGUAACGACAAUGGGGGUGAAAAACCCCCACGCCGGAAGACCAAGGGUUCCUGCGCAACGCUAAUCGGCGCAGGGUGAGUCGGCCCCUAAGGCGAGACCGAAAGGUGUAGUCGAUGGGAAACGGAUUAAUAUUUCCGUACCUUGGAUAGCUGCGAUGGAGAGACGGAGAAGGCUAGGUGAGCCGGGCGACGGUUGUCCCGGUUUAAGCAUGUAGGCAGUGGGAUUAGGCAAAUCCGGUCCCACAAUGCCGAGACGCGACGACGACUGCCCUUUUAGGGCGGGAAGUCAUUGAUGCCCUGCUUCCAGGAAAAUCUUCUAAGCUUCAGGCUAUUCGAGACCGUACCCCAAACCGACACAGGUGGUCAGGUAGAGAAUACCAAGGCGCUUGAGAGAACUCGGGUAAAGGAACUAGGCAAAAUGGUGCCGUAACUUCGGGAGAAGGCACGCCGGUGGUAUGUGACGCCCUUCGCGGGUUGAGCAGAAGCCGGUCGAAGAUACCAGGCCCCUGCGACUGUUUAUUAAAAACACAGCACUGUGCAAACACGAAAGUGGACGUAUACGGUGUGACGCCUGCCCGGUGCCGGAAGGUUAAUUGAUGGGGUUAGCGCUUGCGCGAAGCUCUUGAUCGAAGCCCCGGUAAACGGCGGCCGUAACAAUAACGGUCCUAAGGUAGCGAAA